RNAcentral lists this ribosomal RNA (623 nucleotides) under Cylindrospermum muscicola AUS-JR/DB/NT-001. Its description in RNAcentral is "bacterial SSU rRNA". It matches the Rfam family "Bacterial small subunit ribosomal RNA", at positions 109 to 766 of the family's 1533-position model. Lineage: Bacteria; Bacillati; Cyanobacteriota; Cyanophyceae; Nostocales; Nostocaceae. The record is from RNAcentral.
CCAUACGCGUGAGAAUCUAGCUUCAGGUCGGGGACAACCACUGGAAACGGUGGCUAAUACCGGAUGUGCCGAGAGGUGAAAGGCUUGCUGCCUGAAGAUGAGCUCGCGUCUGAUUAGCUAGUUGGUGGGGUAAGAGCCUACCAAGGCGACGAUCAGUAGCUGGUCUGAGAGGAUGAUCAGCCACACUGGGACUGAGACACGGCCCAGACUCCUACGGGAGGCAGCAGUGGGGAAUUUUCCGCAAUGGGCGAAAGCCUGACGGAGCAAUACCGCGUGAGGGAGGAAGGCUCUUGGGUUGUAAACCUCUUUUCUCAGGGAAGAAAACAAUGACGGUACCUGAGGAAUAAGCAUCGGCUAACUCCGUGCCAGCAGCCGCGGUAAUACGGAGGAUGCAAGCGUUAUCCGGAAUGAUUGGGCGUAAAGCGUCCGCAGGUGGCUAUGAAAGUCUGCUGUUAAAGAGCAAGGCUCAACCUUGUAAAGGCAGUGGAAACUACAUGGCUAGAGUGCGUUCGGGGCAGAGGGAAUUCCUGGUGUAGCGGUGAAAUGCGUAGAGAUCAGGAAGAACACCGGUGGCGAAAGCGCUCUGCUAGGCCGCAACUGACACUGAGGACGGAAAGGUAUGU